Molecule: ribosomal RNA, 455 nt
Filed under: uncultured Acidovorax sp.
Lineage: Bacteria; Pseudomonadati; Pseudomonadota; Betaproteobacteria; Burkholderiales; Comamonadaceae
Description: bacterial SSU rRNA
Rfam family: Bacterial small subunit ribosomal RNA
Source: RNAcentral
GCACAAGCGGUGGAUGAUGUGGUUUAAUUCGAUGCAACGCGAAAACUUACCCACCUUGACAUGUACGGAAUCCUUUAGAGAUAGAGGAGUGCUCGAAAGAGAACCGUAACACAGGUGCUGCAUGGCUGUCGUCAGCUCGUGUCGUGAGAUGUGGGUUAAGUCCCGCAACGAGCGCAACCCUUGUCAUUAGUUGCUACAUUCAGUUGGGCACUCUAAUGAGACUGCCGGUGACAAACCGGAGGAAGGUGGGGAUGACGUCAAGUCCUCAUGGCCCUUAUAGGUGGGGCUACACACGUCAUACAAUGGAUGGUACAAAGGGUCGCCAACCCGCGAGGGGGAGCCAAUCCCAUAAAGCCAUUCGUAGUCCGGAUCGCAGUCUGCAACUCGACUGCGUGAAGUCGGAAUCGCUAGUAAUCGUGGAUCAGAAUGUCACGGUGAAUACGUUCCCGGGUCUU